CCUACGGGAGGCAGCAGUGAGGAAUAUUGGUCAAUGGCCGAGAGGCUGAACCAGCCAAGUCGUGUGAGGGAAGACGGCCCUACGGGUUGUAAACCUCUUUUGUCGGGGAGCAAAGCGAGUCACGUGUGACUCUUUGAGAGUACCCGAAGAAAAAGCAUCGGCUAACUCCGGGCCAGCAGCCGCGGUAAUACGGAGGAUGCGAGCGUUAUCCGGAUUUAUUGGGUUUAAAGGGUGCGCAGGCGGAGGUGCAGGUCAGCGGUCAAAUUGCGGGGCUCAACCCCGUACUGCCGUUGAUACUGCAUCCCUAGAGUGCGCGAGAGGUAUGCGGAAUGCGUGGUGUAGCGGUGAAAUGCAUAGAUAUCACGCAGAACUCCGAUUGCGAAGGCAGCAUACCGGCGCGCAACUGACGCUCAUGCACGAAAGCGUGGGUAUCGAACAGGAUUAGAUACCCGGGUAGUC
This 459-nucleotide ribosomal RNA is filed under the name uncultured bacterium. RNAcentral's name for it is "partial 16S ribosomal RNA". It matches the Rfam family "Bacterial small subunit ribosomal RNA", at positions 338 to 795 of the family's 1533-position model. The record is from RNAcentral.